CGGACGGGUGAGUAACGCGUGAGAAUCUGCCUUCAGGACGGAGACAACAGUUGGAAACGACUGCUAAGCCCCGAUGAACCGAAAGGGAAAAUAUUUAUAGCCUGAAGAUGAGCUCGCGUCCGAUUAGCUAGUUGGGGGGGUAAAGGCCCACCAAGGCGACGAUCGGUAGCUGGUCUGAGAGGACGAUCAGCCACACUGGGACUGAGACACGGCCCAGGCUCCUACGGGAGGCAGCAGUGGGGAAUUUUCCGCAAUGGGCGAAAGCCUGACGGAGCAAGACCGCGUGAGGGAGGAAGGCUCUUGGGUUGUAAACCUCUUUUCUCAGGGAAGAACAAAAUGACGGUACCUGAGGAAUAAGCAUCGGCUAACUCCGUGCCAGCAGCCGCGGUAAUACGGAGGAUGCAAGCGUUAUCCGGAAUGAUUGGGCGUAAAGCGUCCGCAGGUGGCAGUUCAAGUCUGCUGUCAAAGACCGGGGCUUAACUUCGGAAAGGCAGUGGAAACUGAACAGCUAGAGUAUGGUAGGGGCAGAGGGAAUUCCUGGUGUAGCGGUGAAAUGCGUAGAGAUCAGGAAGAACAUCGGUGGCGAAGGCGCUCUGCUGGACCAUAACUGACACUCAGGGACGAAAGCUAGGGGAGCGAAUGGGAUUAGAUACCCCAGUAGUC
This 663-nucleotide ribosomal RNA is filed under the name uncultured bacterium. RNAcentral describes it as "bacterial SSU rRNA". It matches the Rfam family "Bacterial small subunit ribosomal RNA", at positions 99 to 795 of the family's 1533-position model. The record is from RNAcentral.